This 437-nucleotide ribosomal RNA is filed under the name uncultured bacterium. RNAcentral's name for it is "bacterial SSU rRNA". It matches the Rfam family "Bacterial small subunit ribosomal RNA", at positions 43 to 524 of the family's 1533-position model. The record is from RNAcentral.
CAGGCCUAACACAUGCAAGUCGAACGAUACCUUUCGGGGUAUAGUGGCGCACGGGUGCGUAACGCGUGGGAAUCUGCCCUGGGGUUCGGGAUAACCGUUGGAAACGACGGCUAAUACCGGAUGAUGAUGAGAAUCCAAAGAUUUAUCGCCCUGGGAUGAGCCCGCGUCGGAUUAGCUAGUUGGUGGGGUAAAGGCUUACCAAGGCGACGAUCCGUAGCUGGUCUGAGAGGAUGAUCAGCCACACUGGGACUGAGACACGGCCCAGACUCCUACGGGAGGCAGCAGUGGGGAAUAUUGGACAAUGGGCGCAAGCCUGAUCCAGCAAUGCCGCGUGAGUGAUGAAGGCCUUAGGGUUGUAAAGCUCUUUUACCCGGGAUGAUAAUGACAGUACCGGGAGAAUAAGCCCCGGCUAACUCCGUGCCAGCAGCCGCGGUAAU